AGGUUAAUCACAGAGGUCUGGUAAGUUUCCAGAGGGAAGGUCUCUGAAGUGGAGCUGGGUACUGCCCCAGGGUUUUGGUGGGGUUGGUGAGCCGUAGUGGUGCAGAGGGUGGGCUCUGGCACCAGGUGGCCUGGGCAGGUCUUGGCUCUACAGCUCACCCGGGCAGCUGUGGGCUGGCAGCCUCCUCUGUCUCACUCUUCUUAAAUGUAACAUGGGAGUCAUAACAGUAGCCACCUCAUGAGGUUGUUAUAAGGAUGAAGGGAGUUAGUCCAUAUCUGGCGCACCCAGCAGUGCCUGGCGCCUGGGCAGUGCUCAGCCGCUGCAGCCGUUCUUGGUGGGAGUGGACUUGACUGCUCACAGCUGGAGCAUGUUGGAGUGUGCGCGUUCCCUGUUGUGGCUGUGACAAAUGACCACAAGCAUAGUGGCUGACAACAGAUUUUCUGACCUCCAGAAACGACAAUCUGGGGGUCAGAUGUCCAAAAUCAGACUCAUCGGCUUAAAAUCAAGGUGUGGGUGGGGUUGCUUCUUCUGGAGGGCCCAGGGGAAAACCCAUCUCCUGGUCUUUUCCGGCUCCUAGAGGCUAUUGCUUGACUUGUCACCCUUUCCUCUGUCUAUGAAGCCAGCAGUGUUGCAUCUUCAAAUCUCUCCCCUCGGUGGCCUUCUCUGACUCUGACCCUCCUAUGCCCCUCUUAUAAGACCCUUGGGUUGUCACCUGGGUCAUCCCGGGUCACCUCCCCAUCCCAGGAUCCUUAACUUCAUCUCAGCUGCAGCGUCCCUGUUGUCCUGUAAGGGAACAUUCACAGGCCUUGGCAAUUGGAUGUAGGUGCCUUUGGGGCUGUGAUUCAGCCAACCCCGCCCCUUGGUGACUUCUGGGUCAGAACCCAGGGGAUAGUUGGGUCCUGAGGUUUGGGGCCUGUCCUCCUCACUUGCCGUGGUUCACACCUAGACUCUGGGGCUCAGGCCUGCCUUCCCCCUUUCUCCCUCCUGGGCGCAGGGCUGCGCUGGCAGGGCUGUCACUCAGCCUGAUGGAACGCCUGGCCGAGGAGUACGGCGCGAGGGUGGUGCGGACACUGACGGUGCAGUACCGCAUGCACCAGGCUAUCAUGCGCUGGGCCUCGGACACCAUGUACCUCGGGCAGCUCACGGCCCACCCUUCCGUGGCGGGGCACCUCCUGAGGGACCUCCCAGGUGUGGCUGCCACAGAAGAGACGGGUGUGCCUCUGCUCCUGGUGGACACCGCUGGCUGCGGGCUGUUUGAGCUGGAGGAGGAGGACGAACAGUCGAAAGGGAACCCUGGCGAAGUCCGCCUCGUCAGUUUGCACAUCCAGGCUCUGGUAGACGCUGGUGUUCCAGCCCGUGACAUGGCCGUGGUCUCACCAUACAACCUCCAGGUGGACCUGCUCAGACAGAGCCUCGUGCACAGGCACCCCGAGCUUGAAAUCAAGUCCGUCGAUGGCUUCCAAGGCCGAGAGAAGGAGGCCGUGAUACUGUCCUUCGUCAGGUCCAACAGGAAAGGUGAAGUUGGUUUUCUUGCUGAGGACCGGAGGAUCAACGUGGCUGUCACCCGCGCCCGGCGCCACGUGGCGGUCAUCUGUGACUCCCGUACUGUCAACAACCAUGCAUUUUUGAAGACCCUGGUGGAGUAUUUCACACAGCAUGGGGAAGUACGCACGGCCUUUGAAUAUCUUGACGAUAUUGUCCCAGAAAACUAUUCCCAUGAGAGCUCCCAGGGUUUCAGCCACGCUGCCACCAAGCCCCAGGGCCCUGCUAUGUCCACCAGGACCGGAAGCCAGCGGCAGGAGGGAGGCCAGGAGGCCGCAGCACCUGCCAGACAGGGCCGGAAGAAGCCGGCCGGGAAGUCUCUGGCCUCUGAAGCCCCAUCUCAGCCCAGCCUCAACAGAGGCAGCCCGGAGGGAGUGGAGAGCCAAGACGGCGUGGACCACUUCCGUGCCAUGAUAGUGGAGUUCAUGGCCAGCAAGAAGAUGCAGUUGGAGUUUCCUCCUUCCCUCAAUUCCCACGACAGGCUGCGGGUCCACCAAAUAGCCGAGGAGCACGGGCUGAGGCACGACAGUUCCGGGGAAGGGAAGAGGAGGUUCAUCACCGUGAGCAAGAGGGCCCCGCCGGCCCCGCAACCCCCAGCAGCCCCGGGACCCCCAGCAGGGACCGGUGGCCCAGCCCCUCUCCCGCCAGUGCCCCCUAACCCUGCGCAGACGGAGCAGCCUCCCAGGGAGCAGCGUGGCCCGGAGCGGCCUGAUCUGAGGACGCUGCACCUGGAGAGACUGCAGAGGGUCAGGAGCGCGCAGGGGCAGCCCGCCAGCAAGGAGCAGCAGGCCUCAGGGCAGCAGAAACUUCCAG
Molecule: small RNA, 2355 nt
Filed under: Pongo abelii (Sumatran orangutan)
Lineage: Eukaryota; Metazoa; Chordata; Mammalia; Primates; Hominidae
Description: retained intron
Source: RNAcentral